CGGUGCUUAGUGGCGGACGGGUGAGUAACGCGUGAGAAUCUGCCUCGAGGAUGGGGGCAACAGUUGGAAACGACUGCUAAUACCCAAUAUGCCUAACGGUGAAAUUUUUUAGCCUUGAGAGGAGCUCGCGUCCGAUUAGUUAGUUGGUGGUGUAAUGGACUACCAAGGCAGCGAUCGGUAGCUGGUUUGAGAGGAUGAGCAGCCACACUGGGACUGAGACACGGCCCAG
Molecule: ribosomal RNA, 229 nt
Filed under: uncultured bacterium
Lineage: Bacteria
Description: partial 16S ribosomal RNA
Rfam family: Bacterial small subunit ribosomal RNA
Source: RNAcentral